GUGGGGAAUAUUGGACAAUGGGCGCAAGCCUGAUCCAGCCAUGCCGCGUGUGUGAAGAAGGCCUUAGGGUUGUAAAGCACUUUCAGUGGGGAGGAAGGGUGUUGUGUUAAUAGCACAGCAUUUUGACGUUACCCACAGAAGAAGCACCGGCUAACUCCGUGCCAGCAGCCGCGGUAAUACGGAGGGUGCAAGCGUUAAUCGGAAUUACUGGGCGUAAAGCGCACGCAGGCGGCUUUUUAAGUCGGAUGUGAAAGCCCCGGGCUCAACCUGGGAAUUGCAUCUGAUACUGGGAAGCUAGAGUAUGUGAGAGGUGGGUAGAAUUCCAAGUGUAGCGGUGAAAUGCGUAGAGAUUUGGAGGAAUACCAGUGGCGAAGGCGGCCCCCUGGCACAAUACUGACGCUCAGGUGCGAAAGCGUGGGGAGCAAACAGGAUUAGAAACCCCAGUAGUCC
Molecule: ribosomal RNA, 450 nt
Filed under: uncultured bacterium
Lineage: Bacteria
Description: partial 16S ribosomal RNA
Rfam family: Bacterial small subunit ribosomal RNA
Source: RNAcentral